RNAcentral lists this long non-coding RNA (20128 nucleotides) under Populus tremula. RNAcentral's name for it is "long non-coding RNA (PTRE_LNC000176)". The record is from RNAcentral. Lineage: Eukaryota; Viridiplantae; Streptophyta; Magnoliopsida; Malpighiales; Salicaceae.
AGCAGCUUCUUUUGUAUCUGAAUCUGCUCUUACUGAUACCUUCCUACGUAAGAUGCCAAAAGAUGCCUUAAUUUCUGAUGUUCUGAAAGAAUAAUCUUGAGGACAUCUGUGUGCUUAAUUGAUCAAGUAUAUUUUCUGGUCAUCUUGAACCUGGUUUUUUAUUGAUGUGAUAGAUAGUCUGUCAUGUGUGGGAGAUUUGUUGAUCCUCAAGACUUUCAUGUAAGUCGAAUUAAGGUGCUGCUUUUGCUUCAUAAUUACAGUUUCAGACAAGAUUAAUUUGACUCCAAAUUGGUAGGCAGAGAGUAUCUUGAACCGCACCGAAUAAAACUCUCACUUGGUGGCAAAGCAUACACUAGAAAUUAUGCCUUCCCGAGGAAACACAGUUUUUUUAAAAGUUCUAAAUAUCUAUUCAGCGUUCCUGCUAUCUCCUUCUGCAAUCUAUGAUGAAGUCUCAAACAGUAUUUUAAGUUGGUCUGGACUAUUUUGUAUGCUUUUCAUAACGAAUCAUUAAUUAAUUGAAUGGCAGCAUCAUGAAAUGUAAUCAUCAGGGGUGACUUGGCCCACCUCCUCGACUAUAGAUUCGAAAUGGGAGUUGUUUUAACAUUCAAUUCCCAGCAAAUUUCGUGGCAGGAACGUCUCGUGCAUGGCAGCUUCUUUUAUCUCUGAAUUGGAGGGCAGUAAAUAACAAAUGCCUUCAACCAUAAGAACCGGAAACAUAACUAUAUAUGCAUGUGGAAAUCCACAACAUCAAUGCCUUGGUACUUCAGUGUAUGUAAAACAUAUUUGGUGAUAAAUCGAAACAGAAACUUUCAGAUCAGAUAACCUGAAUCUCUUACUUGGAAAUUGUUUAAAAUUCCAUUUAAAUUGCAAGGCAAUGUUAUCUCCUCCAACUUGUCAUUUCCUAUUCUUAAUAAAUUUCUAGUUCAUUUACUGAGCACAAUUAGGUUUUUGAUAAGAAGGAAUUUCAAAACUGGAAAAUAAUCUGUGUUUUUCUGCCGUUUUUUAAAAACUUCACAGCCAAUACUGUGUAGUUAUUGUCCUGAAACUUCUCUGUAGUGCUACAGCCAGAAGGCCCAAAACACAAGAUAUAUUAUCUCUUCCCUUUCUAGUUAUUGUUGUCAACAAUACGAAGCUAUAACCCAAGCCUCAGGGGCUGGAAUCUUUACAUUGCUGCCAUACCAUUCAUUUACUUGUACCACUACCUGAGACAGAGAAUGCAGAAUGCAUGGGAUAUCGAGUUGUCUGUGUUAUAAGUACAUGGUCUUAUGACAGUCCGAAUAUAACUACUAUAUGGAUUUCUCUGUUUCAGUGAUUGAUCUCCCCAGAACAUCAUUGUGCUGCACGCUUCACAUCUUUGGUAGCUUCCUUUAUCGAUCUGCGAAAAACCCUUGGCCAAUAUUCCUUCAUCAGCAAAAACUUGAGAAUAGUUUUCAUUGGUGAUGGUUUUGGUUUUUUGUUUCUUGUGUGUGUGUGCAAAAUUUGGAAGCUAUGAGCAUAGGUACGUGAUUAAGAAUAGUAUAUUUAAGAUGUUGAAUGAAUAACCAUGGUAGAUGAGUCUAGUAAACAUAUCAUUAUACAAUAUAUUUCUAGUGGCUCAAUUUACACGUUCUCAUUGCAUAUACAUGCGCCAAGGUCUAGUGGAAAAUCCAGGGAAAUGAAUCUGCCUUUUCAGGUCUCGAGUAAAUAAUGUCUCUGGUCCUAGUCUAUAAAGAAGGCUGUUCACCAUGGAUCUUUCUCCAAGGCUGUUUCUGCUUUCAGGUUUCGAAUUUUGGUACGAUGCAUGACAAUUAAAGUAAGAAGCAAUUAGAUAAAGGAUUUCUGUCUUUAAAUUCCUGUUCCAUUCUUGAGGAUUGUAAAUGUUGGGGAAAUAGAAAGUACUAUUAAACAUUAAUUCGCAAUUAUGACUGAUAUUAUGAUUCCCCCAAUUCAUAGCAUGACCCUAGCUGUUAGAACAAUCUAUAGGUGUUUUUGUUGCAGGCUUCACGUCUCUUGGCAGCUUCUUUGAUUUCUGAAUCUGCUUUAACCGAUACCGUCAUCAUCCGUAAAGAGCCAAAAGAUACCUUCAUCUGCAAAGUUCCAAACCAAGAAUACUGAGAACAUCUUCGUUUGCGUUAUUGACUAUCUAGUAUAGGCAUUUGUUCAAUUCGGAACUAUAAUCCUGCCUUUGCUUAUAAUUCCUGAAUGAAUACAGUUGAAGAAUGGUUCUCUGUUGCAGGAAAAUGCAACUCAAAGGGUCUCCAUUUCAAACUAGGUCUGAAAUAUACAACAACACAUUUUUCAGGGAAUGAUAUUUUUCAUAAUUGAAAUUUGCGCAGAGUAUGAACUAAGCCUCUUCAGGGCCCAAAUCAAGGUAUCCAUUCCGAAUCUCAGGCCAAAACAGAAGAAUAUUUUGACUUCAUAUUGGAUGCGAGCUGGGGUGGCUGAAUUCUCGAUCAUAACGAGAAGUUAAAAAAUCAAAUAGUUGCACACUUUGGAACACACAAGGAACAAACCAGUUUGAGGAAGGAUUGAAGCAGGUGCUAGAUUGAUACACAGUAGUAGUGUGUGUCAGCUUCUGGAAUUUGUCUAUUUUUGUGCUUCUGGUAAUGAAAUUGAACUGCACGGUGAAAUGGUUUCUCUGCAGCACCACCUGUAAUCAUCAUGUUCACCUGUAAUCAUCCAUGCCAUUCAAGCAACUACAGGAUGCAAAAUGGUCGCUCCGCCUUUUGAUCUCCUGUAUUUUAAUUUCUGGCGUUGAGGGCUUCAUAUCUCUGAAUUGGAAGUGAGUCACUAAGCAAUGCUUCACCCGUACAAACCUGAAACAAGAACUUUAGAUCUUACAAGUUAACUGUUUUUUUUUUUUUAACUCGAGUUUUUUUUUUUUUAUGAUUUAACUUUGGGUUUUGUUUUUGUUUUUUUUUAAUUAAUUGUUUUAUUUUGGUCUCAUAUUACGUGUUAGUGGUUAGUUAAGAUAACCCGGAUUAACUUGCGUUUUUUUCCCAACGUAUCCUUUCUUGAAGUUGAUGUUUUUUUUUUCCUUUCAUUUUUAUCUUUUAGGAUUUAGUUAUUAGGCUCUUUGUGAAUUUUUUUGCUUUUUUUUUUUAUGUGGAAUUACCAUAAGUUGCAGGUUAGUCAAGUUAACUCAAGUAAAAUUUAGUUUUUUAUUUUAUUUUAUUUUUUAUUUUUUAUUUUUUAUCUUACGUCUUUUUUUUCUAGGCCUUUUAAAAAAAUAGUUUUUUUUUCAUAUUGUGGAUCGUGUGGUAGUCGAGUUAACUUGGUUUUUUUAUGUUUAUAUUUUUUUAAAUUAUUAUUUUUUAUUUCAUCCUUUAACAUUACAUUAUUGGGCCUUGAGCUUUGUGAUUCUUUUCGCUUUUAUUUUUGUUGGGUUAUCCCGAAUCACAAGUUAAUCAAGUUAAUCGGGUUGACUUGACUUUUUUUUCAAUGUUUUUUUAUUGAUUUAACUUCAGUCUUUCUAAAAGCAUUUUUUUUAUCUCGGAAUUGCAUAAAGGGUGGUAGAUUUGUCAAGUUAACCAAGUUGACUUAAGUUCUUAUCCAUCGGUUAGAUAACUUUUUUUUAUAUUGGAAAAACAUUAACUCAACUUGUAGGGUAGCAUGAGCCACCCAUCUAGUAUAAAACUAAAGAAAGAGAGGGUUUCAUUGUAUUCCUCCUGGCAUAAGACUAUUCACUUUAAUAUUGUUUUUUUUUUUACUUUCAUAGUUUUUCCUUUUGAUCUAUAUUUUUUUUCAUUUUCAAUUUCAUCAUUUAAUGUUAGGUUUAUCGUGGAUUAUGCUUCAUAUUUUAUUUUAAUUUACUUUUUAUGAGAUUAUCCUAAAUUUAUGACUCGAAUUGCAAGUUUGAUAUAGUAACUCAUUUGACUCAAAUUUUUUUCCUAUUUUCCUAGGAUUUUUUUUUUUUAUCUUAAAUUUGUCUUUCAAAACUAGGUUGAUUGGGAAUUAGGAUUCGUUAUUUAUUUUGUUCCACUUUCUAUGAGGUUAUCCUCAUUUUAUAACUUGGGUCACGGGUUUAGCAGGUUAACCUUGGUUGACCUGAGUUAUUUUUUGUGUUUUUUUUUAAUUGAUUUUUUUUCAAUUUCAUCUUUUAAUAUUGAGUUGAUUUAAAAUUGAACUCAAUAAUUUAUUUUGAUUUGCUUUCUAUUAUGUUAUCCUGGUUCAUGACGUGAGUCACAGGUUUGUCAGGUUAACCAAAGUUCACCCAAAUCAUUUUUUUUAUUUUUUAAUUAAUUGUUUUUAAGUUUCAUCCUUUAAUAUUGAGUUUAUUGAAAAUUAAACUUUCUAAUUUGUUUUGAUUUAUUGUUCAUGGUGUUAUCAUGAUCUCAUGACUUAGUAUAUGAGUUGAUAGGUUAACUCGAGAUGACUCGAAUCGAUUUAAUAUAUUGUUCUCUCGAUGUUUAUUAAAAACAUAUCACUUUAAAUAUUUAUUUUGAAUCAAAUUAUAUUUUUAUCGGUUUUUUGAAUUGUAUUUAGACUCGUCAAGACGACCAAGUCACUUUAGAUCAAUCUCCAAACAAUUUUUUUUUUGCUACUAGAAAAAAUUUAAUCUGACUCGCAGUGUAAAGCAGGGCAAUUAUCUAGUAAUAUUUAAAAUACAUCCUUAAUUAAUCUAAUCUAAGAAAAAAAAUAUAUUUUUUAAUAUACUAAAUAUAUUUUAAAUAAUUUUAUCUUCAACAAGUUAGAUAUAAGGUGUUGGAAAAAGAUUUUUUUUUUAAAAAAAAAAAGAAAAGAAAAAGGCCAAGGGAGCAAACGAGCAUGGAAGAUUGAGCAUGUCAAUGCCAUGAAAAAAAAAAAUGGCGCAUGGGCUUUGCCAAUACAAGCUUGUGUGUUUGAUUUUUUUUAUUUUUUUGGAGUUGACAAGGUCAAAUUUAUGUUAUUUUUAAAGGAUGCAAUCAUGUUGUCUAAAGGUCAAAUUCAGGUUAUGCAAGGUGAUUUAAAAAAACAUGGGAGAUUUUUUUUAUAUAAAAAAACUUAAUUUUUCAUUCAUUUUUAUUUGAAAAUACCUUAAAAAACAUUCUUUAAACCUUAAAUAAUUAAUUCCUCAAUUCAAGAUUUCUCAAAUUGAUUUAAAAACACAAAAUUAAAUGAAACAUAAAAAACCUCAGACAACCCUAAUUUAUUUUUUUUAGGUGAUAAGAAAACACUACAAUGAAACCCCCUUGCAAGUGAAAAAUUUUAGUUUUCUCACCAUUCCACUUGGGUAUUUGAUGAAUGAAAAGCAUGGUGGACAAUCAAAAGGAAGCAUCCACCACCUAUAUGACAGUGUCAUUGAUCUCGAUGCUACGAAAUACCUGAAGUCGAAUGACAUUAAAGAGAUUCUUCUAAAUCCUAAGAUUGCACCUGGUUCUGGCUAUAAGAACCAGCCACUAGGUGUUAAGGAAGCUGUUGAUAACCAGCAGUACUACUAUGAUUGGAAUUCUUCCAAUCCACUAAGAACUGAAAACAAAAGUCCUCGCGGUCAAAUGAUUGGAAUUCUUCCAAUCCCACUUUUAACUAUGAUGGAUCCCAAAUCACCCUUCGAAGAGGGUACAGGAGGUGGUGGAUUUUUGCUAGAUCCUGCAAUGUUCACAGUAAGUGACGAUCUUGUUGUUACACCAAUAUCGCCUGUCUCAGAACUAUCUUUACUGGAAAAAUUGAAGAUAUCUUUUAAUGACAUCUAUGUCUGCGAGGUUCAAGUUGGCAGAGAAGAGGUCAGUCAAACUAACUAAUUUCUGCACUCUUUUAUUAUCCAUGAUAUUUAAUAUUUAAUUAUAAAGCUUUUAAGAAAAAUCAUGCCUGUCAACUUCAUGCUUAUGUCUUAGUUAAUUUUGUCUUGAUCAGAACUGUAAGAUUAUUUAUUUUUUAUUCUAUUUAUUCAACCAAACAGAUUUAUAGGAUAGAAGUGGCAUAAAAACUAUUUUACCUGUUCUUCUAAGAUCCUUUUUUUGUUAAUGUCAUUUGUUAAAAUUCGCAUCAUAUAUAACAGUCUUCAAACAGGAAUAUUGGUGUGAUGGACAUUUUCUUUUUCUGCUGCAGGCUUCCCGUCUCUUAGCAGCUUCUUUUGUAUCUGAAUCUGCUCUUACUGAUACCUUCAUACGUAAGAUGCCAAAAGAUGCCUUAAUUUCCGAUGUUCUGAAAGAAUAAUCUUGAGGACAUCUGUGUGCUUAAUUUAUCAAGUAUAUUUUCUGGUCAUCUUGAACCUGGUUUUUUAUUAAUGUGAUAGAUAGUCUGUCAUGUGUGGGAGAAUUAUUGAUUCUCAAGACUUUCAUGUAAGUCGAAUUAAGGUGCUGCUUUUGCUUCAUAAUUGCCUGGAAACACAAUUUAGAAAGGGCUUACAGUUUCAGACAAGAUUAAUUUGACUCCAAAUUGGUAGGCAGAGAGUAUCUGAACCACACCGAAUAAAACUCUCACUUGGUGGCAAAGCAUGCUAAUUUCUUGUUUGUAACGUCUCGUGCAUGUUGCUUCUUUUAUCUCUGAAUUGGAGGUCAGUCAAUAACAAAUGCCUUCAGCCAUAAAAAACUGGAAACGAGAAUACUUGGAUCUUCAUAGAUAUUCUCCCCUUUUCUUCUUUUUUCCGAUGAAUGAGUAAAAGGAGUCUUAUAAGCAAAACUAAACUGUACCUGUGGAAAUCUACAACAUCGAUGCCUUGGUACUUCAGUGUAUGUAAAACAUAUUUGGUGAUAAAUGGAAACAGAAACUUUCAGAUCAGAUAACCUGAAUCUCUUACUUGGAAAUUGUUUAAAAUUCUGAAGAAUUUUGAAGCAGAGAAGAGACGUGAGACAAUGCAGUAAAACAGAGUUCUGCAUUAUAUUUUCUUAUGCUGUACAUAUGCAUAUAUAUUUAUAUAUAUAUAAAAGGAAAAACUUGCAGCAAGGAAAGACAAUCCUGCGUAUCCUUUCUCCUAACAGUAUGCUAAUAUUAUAUGUUAAUAAUAAAUACACAAUCAUAUCUAAACUAGGUGACAAAUAAGUUAUACUUGGUAAUAGCAUAAUAAUGAAGAUCUUCAUCGCUUCAGUAUCUUCAAUACCCCCCUCAAUCUGGAUCCAGUGGAUUGGUGGAUCCAAGCUUGCUUAAUAACCGAUGAAAUUGAGUGGAAGGUAAGGCUUUGGUAAGCACAUCAGCUAGUUGAUCAUGAGAUCAUACAUACUGAGGAUGGAUAAGUUUAGCUUGAACUUGCUAAUGAAUGUAAUGACAAUCUACUUCAAUAAUCUGUGUUUUUCUACUGUUUUUGAAAAACUUCGCAGCCAAUACUGUCUAGUUAUUGUCCUGAAACUUCUCUGUAGUGCUACAGCCAGAACACAAGAUAUAUUAUCUCUUCCCUUUCUAGUUAUUGUUGUCAACAAUACGAAGCUAUAACCCAAGCCCAGGGGCUAGAAACUUUACAUUGCUGCCAUACCAUUCAUUUACUUGUACCACUGCCUCAGACAGAGAAUGCAGAAUGCAUGGGGUAUCGAGUUGUCUGUGUUAUAAGUACAUGGUUUUAUGACAAUCCGAAUAUAACUACGAUAUGGAUUUCUCUGUUUCAGUGAUUGAUCUCCCCAGAACAUCAUUGUGUUGCACGCUUCACAUCUUUGGUAGCUUCCUUUAUCGAUAUGCGAAUAACCCUUAGCCAAUAUUCCUUCAUCAGCAAAAACUUGAGAAUAUUGCCGGACUGCUAUAGUGUCCACACCAUCAUCAAAGCUCAUGACUUUCACUAGCCUGCAUUCCACCACCACCACUUGUUUAUCUAUACGGCAAAGUAAGAAGAAUCUGUGUAUUUCUUUAACGUGUUAAGACUGAUAAGGAUGUACAUGUUUCUGUGAUAAGUAUAUCCAAUUCCUCUAGUUUAUCCCUUUUUCUUUUUCCUGUCUACUUCUGCGGGCUUUCCGUCUUAUGGGAACAAUCAUCCAUCUCAUCAGUAAUCUGUCACCGACAAAUGGGAUUGGUUGCAUGAACAACUUAUAUAAAAGUGUUGAAAAUACAGAUGCUAUGUAUUUCCGGAACAUCCUCAUAAUGCCGCUGCAGCUUAUUGUAAGAGCCUAAAACUGAAAAUUGAUGACAUUGACACUUCAAGUUUUUUUUGUUGCUAGAGUUCCGAAUGUUCUACUUCUGGCUACAAGUUGUGGAGUCAUUACAAAAAUCUCUAUUGUGGUUGUGGACGUCCCAUGAGCCAUAAUUUGAAUCUAUCAUGGCGCCGGGCUCCAUCCAAUAAUGGAUCUGACGCAAGAAAUCGAGGGGUGUUUGUUGAAGGGCUGACCCGAUUUAUUGUAAGUGAUUAUUUUCAAGUGAUGCCAGCAUCAAUUUCAGCAAGCAUUGCUCUUCUUACAAAGCUUGGAGUCAUGGAUACAAGUAACAUCGAGGAGAGGAUUUUUGACAUUGGAGUAACACAGGUAUGAUCUAAUAAAUGAGCUGUUGUAGUAUUGUCUAGCCUUGUGCUAUGUACAGAAGUACCAAUUUUAAUGUCUUUGUUUUAGGACUUGGAAUUGCUGGAGUGCUCAUUGGCAUCAAGGACACCUCUGACCGAAGUUUUGCUUUCUCGUAAGGAAGUUCCUAAGUUAAGAAAUGCAGAUUCCCUUCUAAGAACCUCUCUUAUGCAUGAAAUACUAGAGCAUCAAUCAGAAAGAAAUGGUGAGACGUCUGUUAGGCUUGUGGUUUGCAAAUCCAAGAAAGUGGUUUGUUACGCAGAAGCAUCAAAAGAUUUUGUUGAUUUACUUUUUAGUUUUCUCACCAUUCCACUUGGGUAUUUGAUGAAUGAAAAGCAUGGUGGACAAUCAAAAGGAUGCAUCCACCACCUAUAUGACAGUGUCAUUGAUCUCGAUGCACCGAAAUACCUGAAGUCAAAUGACAUUAAAGAGAUUCUUCUAAAUCCUAAGAUUGCACCUGGUUCUGGCUAUAAGAACCAGCCGCUAGGUGUUAAGGAAGCUGUUGAUAACCAGCAGUACUACUAUACUCGGCGUUCUAAUCUGAAUGUAAUAGUAACUGAAAGCAAAAGUCCUUUAUACACUUUUAACUAUAAUGGAUCCCAAAUCACCCUACAAAGAGGGCAUAGAAGGUGAUGGAUUUUUGCUAGAUCCUGCAAUGUUCACAAUAAGUGACGAUCUUGUUGUUACACCAAUAUCGCCUGUCUCAGAACUAUCUUUACUGGAAAAAUUGAAGAUAUCUUUUAAUGACAUCUAUGUCUGCGAGGUUCAAGUUGGCAGAGAAGAGGUCAGUCAAACUAACUAAUUUCUGCACUCUCUUAUUAUCCAUGAUAAUUAAUAUUAAUUAUAAAGCUCUUAAGAAAAAUCAUGCCCGUCAACUUCAUGCUUAUGUUUUUGUUAAUUUUGUCUUCAGAACUGUAGGUUUAUUUAUUUUUUAUUCUAUUUAUUCAACCAUACAGAUUUAUAGGAUAGCAGUGGCAUUAAAACUAUUUUGCCUGUUCUUCUAACAUCCUUUUUUGUUAAUGGCAUUUGUUAAAAUUCGCAUCAUAACAGUCUCUUCAAACAGAAACAAACCGAGAGGGAGUAGAGAGAAUUUGAAAAACAGAGCACGGGAUAAUUUUCAGACUAGGGUAGAGGAAACAGAGGGCAGUAAGGCGGAGGUCGAAGGAGAAAUUCUAGCUUACUAUUCACGGACGCCACCACUGAUCAUCGCCCGACACGUUGACACUUCGGCGAAGCAACCUGCAACAAGGUAAGCUUCCUCUGUUUUCUUCGUUCUUUAAUUCUCGAAAGUUCAAUGCAUUUAGCACUGUGCGAAGGUAAUUAAUCGCACAGCGCCAUGCACGCAUGACGCUGGGUCAUGCGUGCUGUGACAGUCGGGUCACUGGCUUGGGUGAGUGACUGGGCUGGGCCAGCUGGGUCUAGCCUAGCCCAUAUGGGUUGAGUUGGGCCCAGCCCAAAAAACACAAAUAAUAAAAAUAAAGAAAUAACAUAAAUAAAAAAAAUAGGAGAAAUAGAAAAAUAUGUAUAUGCAUGAAUAAAAAUAAUAUAAAUUUAUUGGUUGAUUCACCAAUGCCAAAGUCGGGAAUAGAAUAUUGGUUUAAGUUUAUAUUAUUUUUAUUCGUUAUAUUUUAUUUUAUUUAGCAAGAAAAAAUAUAUGUGCAUGUAUGAAAAAUAAAUUUAUUUAUUCACUGACGCCUUAGUCAUGAAUAAAAACACUGAUUUAAUUGAUUUUUUUUGUUUUUUUUAUUUAACUACAUAAGAAAUAGGAAAAUAUGUGAACGCGUAAUAAAAUGAAUUUAGUUUAUUUGUUUAUUCACUAGCGUUAGAGUUAGGAAUAAAAAAUAUUAAUCUAAAUUUAUUUUAUAGCUACGUAAUAAUUAUCAAUGCCAGAGUUGGAAUUAUCCGUAGUUGAAUAUUCACUGACGCCAGAGUCAUGAAUAUUGUGAAUAAAUCAUUAGAACGUAAACCAAUAAAAAUUUAGCAAUUUAAGACAAAAAAAAAAAAAACAAUGUAGUUUGCUUUAGGCAGAACGUUUAAGGGGUGAUAAUAUCUUUCCUUUUACGUAACCAAUCCCGAACCAUAGAAUCUCUGUUGACCAGUUAGGGUUUCGAGUGACCAUAAUACUAGGUGGUGACUCCUCAAACAAGACCUUUUUUUCUAAAAGAACAAGAUGCUAGAAAUCUGUUCUUUUUCCAUAUUCGAGAAUUAAUUUUUAGAGCCGCCGCGAUGUCGGGUGCAACAAUAAUUUUAAUUUUAAUUUUACCCUUCAAAUCAAAUCUAUGUUUUUUUCAAUAGUAAUAAUAUUUUUUUAAAAAAAAUUAUUAAUAAUUAUAUUAAUAAUAAUGAAAAUAAUAAUAUUUAUAAUAUUAAUAAUAAUAUUAAACAGAUCUAGCUCAAGUUCUUAAUUUUUUUAAUUUUACCAUUCAAAUCAAAUCUAUGGUUUUCUUCAAUAGUAAUAAUAUUUUUUAAAAAAUUUAAUAACAAUAACAAUAAUAACAAUAACAACAAUAAUAAAACUCACAUUCAUUGGGUAUGACAUCGCCUGCCAGACCGACCCAAGUAGCUUGGGUCUAACGCCUCUACCAGACUCAAGUUAUUUGGGUCUAUUGGUACUAUACCCAAAUUCUUUGGUUAUGGCAUCCCCUCCCAGACUCAAGAUGUCUAAGUUUGACAACAUUUCCAGACCCAAGAUACUGUGGUCUAACAAUCAUGCCUGACCCGAGCGCUUAGGGUCUAGUUACGUUGUUAGACUCGAGCGUCUGAGGUCUGGUAGACAUGCUUGACCCCAGUGCAAGGUUUCUUGCAACCAUGUCAUUUCCUAGCAUCUUAGAAAAACCCCAAACAAAUUAUUUUGUCCCCAAUUAUUUUUUUAAUGUCAAAUAUAUCUCAUAAAAAAGACAAUCUCAUCCUCAACUACAUGUUUAUCAAGUUUUUUUUGGCAAUGAUAAUUACAUCAUUAUACUGAUUUAGUUCAUAGUGAUCUAUCUUGAUGAAUAGUUAAACACUAAUUUCUUUUAAUAUAUUGUAUAAUAUUUAUAGUAUCAAAAAAAAAAAAAUACAAGGAGAAUAGUUAAAUACGAGAAAUAAUUAAAAAAACAUGAAAGUAUUUUUGUCAUUAUUUCGCGGAUCCUAUUGUUAUACUCUCUCUUUUCACUACUUCCAUCCCUUUUCUAGUUAUUACAGUUAUAAAUUUUUCCAUGUUUCCAUGGCCUGACGACGUUUACUACGAGGUGAAAAUAGCGAGGCUGAAACUUCAUGGGAGCAAGUGUUAAGUGGUAUGCUUUAAGGGUUCAAAAUUAUUUACGACUGUAAUCUCGCAAAUCAUGUUUGGCUGCAUUUAUGACAAAAGGGUAAAAACACGAAAAUACUUGAAUUUAUCAAUCAUUAUUAACAGAAAUUAAGCCUUUUGUUAUUUUCACUAUAGCUGAAAUUAUUCUUUAUUCUCUUAUAAAUAAUUAUAGAUUGAAAUUGUAUUUUUUUAAAAUUUUAUUCAAUUUGAUUCUCAAACAUUUUUUUUACAUGAUUGAGCUCUUUUAAACUUGAAUUAGCAUCCAAUUACAUGUUUUUUUAAUAGGAUAUAGAUUGACAGAUAGAAAACCAAAGUGAAAAGGACACGAAAAAUAGAUAGCUACUUUGAAUUUUAUACAAAAAGUUUAUUUUGGUCCCUAUAUUUUUUAUUUUACAAGUGGCUGAUCCCUUUAGUUUUUAGGAAUUUAAUUUUGGUAUCAAAGUUAAUUUUCCUAAAUUUUUAGUUCUUUUUUACAUGAGGAGAAAGAGAUGGCCACUUGAUUCUUGCAAUGAGAGAAAAAGUGAUUGUUGACAACAAUAUAACCAUCAAAAUGAUUGAAAUUGGUGUCAAUGAGUUACAUUUUCAUUUCAUUUGAAGAGUUUUACCCAAAUAUUUUUUUUCCUCUCCUUACUCGAUGAGAUAGAUUUGAUCGUGAGAAUGUUUUUAGAUUCGGGUUGAUUUUGGUUAUUUGAGCUGUCUUUUGGGUUUUAAAAGGAUAUGGAUAAGAUUAUCAAGGUGUUUAUUAUGUUUCCUGUGUUUUUUUGUAAAAAAUAUGUUGAAAAUUGAGUUUUCAAAUAUAAAAAACCAACAAUCGGUUUUUUCAGCCUUCUCUGGUCUCCAGAUUCUGCACAAAUCAGACAACGUGUUGUCUUCUAUUUUAUUUUAAAAAAAAAUUAAAAAAAUAAAACUAGGUCCAAGAGCCCGAGCUAGAAGGCUCAUAUGCCUGGGCUAAUGUUUUUUUUACCAAUGUGUCGUGGCUUAAAAAAAAAAAAGUUUUGUUAUUUUCUAUCUGCUUUAAAAAAUAAUAAUAAAAAAAAUUAUUGAAUUUAAUUGAGAUCAUAAAUUGGGUUGCAUGUUACAUGGUUCAUUUGCAACAUUCUAUCUUUUUUUUUGUACCAUAAUUUAAAAAAAAUAAUAAUUUCACCUUUUAUUAUUGAUAAUCUAUUUUUUUUAUUUAGCUCAAAACUAAAAAAAUAUAAUUUCAUCAUUUGUUAUCAAUGAUCUACUUUUGCUAUCUCAGUAACACACGUCUAACAUGAUUAUUUUCCUAUUAAAAAAAUAUUUUAUAUGAAAAAAUUCUCAUGUGCUUUAUUGUCGUACAAUUAAAUGAAAAUAAUAUUUGGUGUAAAAAAAUUAUUGAAUCUAAUGGCAUACAUGAUUUGCAUCAUGAGUUUGCUUGAUUGACUCGAGUUUACUUAGUAUUUUUUUUAGUUAAGUGAUAUGUUUUACUAUUUUUAUUUUUUAAUAUUGAGUUAAUUGGAGGUUGAGUUUUUCAUUUUGUUUUUUUUAAGAUUAUUCCUGUAACUCUUGCAUGUCAACUGAUGUUAAUGCAAUGUAUUUCUAUCUUAAUAUUAAAUAAAAAUAUAGUUCAAUGUAUAAUUAAAAUCUAUUUCUUUAGAAAAUACAUUACCAAUAUCUAGUUUUUUUUUAUUGGGUUAAAGUUUUUUUUCCCCCACCCGCGACGGUGCACGGGUUAAAAAACCAACGCAAAUUAUUUUGUGUUGAAAGAAAAAAAGACAUAAUUUAUGGGGCGCUGGCCUUCUACAAAAACUUUAGCUUGCAGCUUCUUUUCGCAUCUCAUUCAUUUAUUUUUACGAGAAAGACUUGUAGAAAAUGAAAUUUGGAAAUUAGUGGAAGUUUAUCAGUACUAUCAAAUGAGAUUAAAACAUGCCACAUGUGGAGAAGAUGAAGCGAUAAUUAAUUAAUUACCCAAGAACUAUACGAGUUUGAUUGUCCAGUACAUUUCAAGAAACAUGAAAACAACCGUGUGCUGAGAGUUCCAUUGGUCAUCACCAUGGCUAGAUAACUGAGCAAAAGGGAGAGGGGAGAGAAUGGGCUUCGGUCUUUAACUCUCAACAAAGUCACAAGAUUCGACUCAUCGUGUUACUGAUUAUCAAAUUAAAAAAUAAAACAAAAUCAUUCGUCAACACAGAACAUUCUUAAUCCACACUACGACAAUGAAUCAUAAGGAACUCUCGCUCUGCACUGCAUCACAAUAGCCUUUUUAAACUGCAAAAUGAAAUCCUGAAGUGUCUGGUUUGAAUCACCAGGAUGUCAAACCCAACUAUAAAUCUAAAAAAGGGGUUUUAGCUUUAUAUCACUUGUUAAUAUCCGGUGGAUUUGUGUUUUUGUUGCAGGCUUCCCGUCUCUUGGCAGCUUCUUUGAUUUCUGAAUCAGCUUUAACCGACACCGUCAUCCGUAAAGAGCCAAAAGAUACCUUCAUUUGCAGAGUUACAAACCAAGAAUACUGAGAACAUCUUCGUUUGCGUAAUUGGACAUAAAUGAUGUUCCGGUCAUCUUCAACGUCUUCCAAUCAAUGUGAUAAUCCACCUUUCAUAGCUUUGUAUUGACCCAUGACAUGCCUUGUAUAGGUGGUUCCGUUAGUCUUAUUGACUAUCUAGUACAAGACAUUUGUUCGACUAGGAACUAUAAUCGUGCAUUGCUUCAGAAUUCCUGGAUGAAUGCAGUUGAAGAAUGGCUCGCUGUUGUUUUCUCUAUUCGACUCAUUCUGGCGUCAGAAGUUGCAGAAAAAUGCAACUCAAAAGGGUCUCCCAUUUCAAACUAGGUCUGAAAUAUACAACAAUACAUUUUUCAGGAAAUGACAUUUUCCAUAAUCGAAAUUUGCACAGAGUAUGAACUAGGCCUCUUCAGGGCCUAAAUCAAGGUAUCCAUUCUGAAUCUCAGGCCAAAACAAAAGAAUAUUUUGACUUCAUAUUGGAUGCUGGGGUGGGUGAACUCUAGUAACUAUAAGUUAUACAAUCAAAUAGUUGCACACUUUGGAACACACAAGGAACAAACCAGUUUAAGGAAGGAUUGAAGCAGGUGCUAGAUUGAUACACAGUAGUAGUGUGUCAGCUUCUGGAAUUUGUCUAUUUUUGUGCUUCUUGUGAUGAAAUUGAACUGCACGGUGUAAUGGUUUCUCUGCAGAACCACCUGUAAUCAUCAGGCUCACCUGUAAUCAGCCAUGCCAGUCAAGCAACUACAGGGUGCAAAAUGGUCGCUCCACCUUUUGAUGUCCUGUAUAUUAAUUUCUUGCGUUGCAGGCUUCAUAUCUCUGAAUUGGCAAUGAAUCACUAAGCAAUGCUUCACUCCUACAAACCUGAUAACUUUAGAUCUUAUAAGUUAACUUCUUCUUUUUAACUAGAGUUCUUUUAUGUUUUUUUUAAUGAUUUAACUUUGGUUUUUUUUUUUUUCUAGGUUUUUUUUUUAAAUAUUUUUUUUAUUUUGGUUUCAUAUUGCAUGUUGCGGGUUAAUCAAGAUAACUCAGAUUGACUUGAACUUUUUUCCCUAACGUAUCCCUUAUUAAAAUUGAUUUUUUUUUAAAUAUUUUUUAUAUUCAUUUAUUUUCAUUAAUAUUUAAAAUAAUCUUUAAUUAAUCUAAUCUAAGAAAAAAAUAUAUUUUAAAUAUACUAAACAUAUUUUAAAUAAUUUCAUCUUCAACAAGUUAUUAGAUAUAUAUAAGGUGUUGGAAAAAGAUUUUUUUAUACAAAAGACUAAUGGAGCAAGCAAGCUUGGAAGACUGAGCAUGUCAAUGCCAUGAAAAAAAAAAAAAAAAAGGCUAAUGAGCUUUGCUAGUUCAAGCUUGUGUAUUUGAUUUUUUUUAUUAUUUUUGAAGUUAACAAGGUUAUCUUUUAAUUUAUUUUUUAAAGAUGCAAACAUGUUGUCUAAAAGGUUAAAUUUGGUUAUGCAAGGUGAUUAAAAAAACAUGGUAAACUUUAUAUAUAUAUAUAUAUAUAUAUAUAUAUAUAACUUGAUUUUCUAUUCAUUUUUAUUUGAAAAAACCUAAAAAACACUCUUUAAAUCUCAAAUAAUUAAUUUCUCAAUUUAAAAACUCUCAAAUUGAUUUAAAAACACAAAAUUAAACUUAACAUAAAAAACCUCACUCAACUUUGAUUUUUUUUAGGUGAUAUGAAAGAUAAAAAAAAACAAUACAAUAAAACCCCCUUGCUGGUGGAAAACUUUGACACCAAGUCUAGCCAUUUUUUCCAACAAAAUUGGACCACCCAAUAUCCUUUUCUCUUUUGUUCUUUUAUGGCUAUGGUCUCUCUUCUCUCUCAAGCUAAUGGAUCAAAACAUGAAAAAAAAUGAAGCACCGGACCAAAGUGUAAGAACUUAGAAAUAGAGAUCAAGAUGAAAAAUUUUAUUUUUUAGAGUCUUAAUUAUGUUUAAUGAAAAAAAUUAAAUUUGAUUUCGUCAAAUAAGCAUCAGUUUAACACCCAAUUGUUUUAUUUAAAUAUUUCAAAAAACCCUUGUGGAGUUAAGUGAGACAAAUCAUAUACCCUAACCUAAAAUUAGCUAAACAUGGAAUCAUCAAGGUGAGAAAAAAAAAAAAACAAAUUAAGUGGCAAAAUAAAACAGAGCAAAUACUAUGCGAAUCCAUAUUCCGUCUCAUAUUUUACUCACAAUGAAAGGUUGAUGUCUUUUAUUUUUAAAAUUUAAUGAAAAUUUAUAAUAUACUAUAAUUUAUAAUUAUAAUUCAUGUAACAUAAUUUAAAUGAGCACAUUCAUUUGAUCCUCGAAAAAAAUUUAUGCCGAACGGAGCAUAAUUGAGCUAACAGAGCCCAUGAUUAAAUUUGAUCACGGCUCAUGUGAAAGUUUCCGAUGAAUGUUUGGCAAUGAAUAACGGGCUGGAAAAUUUAAAUUUUUUUAAAAGUAAUUUUAAAACAUAAACACAAUCUUUUUUUUAGUUUAUUAUUGGUUGUGUCUAUUUUAGAACCUAUUUGAUAUUAUAAUAAUAAUUAUGUUUUAAAUUAUUUUUUAUUUAAAAAUAUAUCAAAAUAAUAUUUAUUUAUUUAUUUAUUUUUAACACAAACACAUUAAAAUGAUUUAAAAAAAAUUAAAAUAAAGAAAAAAAAUUAAAAAUUUUUGAAAAGCAAUUGUAGUUAUUCAUUAAUGAUUGUAAUUCUAGGUAAAUUUUGUUGGGUGUAAUCGAUUGAUUUGAGGUCAAGUUGUUUAAUUCACAAUCUAACUAAUGGAUUUGGGUUUUCAGUAACUUUCUAUUGGCCGUUGAUCUUCUUGCAAAAAAACUACCCUUCAUUUAAAAGACAGCAUACUUUCUGCAGGUCCAUGCAGAGCAGCGAUACAACCUUGCUCGAAACGCAUGAAUGAACCCUGUAAGAACAGUACUGUCCACCUAAUAUAUAUUUGGUUAAUAUCAUCUUAAUUAUAAUUGUAAGCAGCAACAUUGGCAAGCAUUUUCUAAAGCUAGCUUCCAGGAUUCAACUUCCUUGCCUUCUCUUUUUCUGCCUUUUUUUUUUUCUGGAGGAAAAGAAGAGUACUGAGCUGUAACUUCCUUAAUUCAUAAAUGUUUGUCUCCUUGCUUUCGGGAAAGAGAAGCUUUGUGUCACCUUUUACUGUUCUGUUAUUUUAAAACAUUUGAAAAAAGAAAGAGGUUUGGACUCUGUGAAUCCACAACGCAAAUGUAUCUGAACGAACGAACAGUGAACUCAGCACUGUUGAAGAUCAGUCAAGAAUUUUCUAGAAUUCCUUAGAUGUUAAGGAAAUAUUUGCUGGUGUGGAAAGAAAAGCAUGUCAAAAGUCAUUUAUCUGCAAUUUCGUGCUUUGUUUGAGAUUUUUAUUUUUAACUGCGUUUUAAAAAUUGUAUUUGUUUUAAAAAUAUAUUAAAUAUAUUUUUUAAUGUUUUUAAUAAUUUUCAUACGCUAGUAUAAAAAAUCUAAAAAAAUUAAAAAUUAUUUUAAUAUAUUAUUUUAAAAGCACCUUCAUAUAGAAAAACAAAAUGUGUUAAAACACUCUCAUCACAGAAUAUAUCUUGCUGUAAUGAUUAAAGCAAGAUGCAUUACUUAGUAAUGAAGAGUAUGAUUUAUCCUGUUUAGAAUUAAGGUUGAUAUUUUUAUUUUUAAAAAAAUUAUUUAUUUUUAUUUUAAAUUAAUUUAUUUUUAUGUUUUUAAAUAGUUUUAAUAUUAUAAUAUCAAAAAUAAAUUUUAAAAAAAUAUUAUUUUAAUAUAACAGUGAAAAAGUGUAGGCUUCCAAACCGACAAAGCAACCUCUAUAUACACUCUUCUUAUGUGAGUGUGAGAUACCAUUAACUAUGGUGUGGUUUUCAUGUAUCACCACUAAAUAAAUACUACUGUGUUUUAUUUACUCACCAUUGUUGCCCAGAGUCCAUAGCCAACAAUUCGUAUCAGAGCUGUUGCCCAAAAUUUGUACCCACAGUUACCACCUCUUGACUCGCUUGAACACCAUUUCAUCUCAAUCCAUGGCAACCAUUAGCUUGAAGGCAUCUGUGGACAAGAAGAGCAACAGAGUUGUAUUUGUUGAAUCUGACGAGUUCUUUGUUGACAUCCUUUUCAGCUUUUUGACAAUGCCCAUGGGAACAAUCAUCCAUCUCAUCAGUAAUCUUUCACCGACAAAUAGGAUUGGUUGCAUGAAGAACUUAUAUAAAAGUGUUGAAAAUAUAGAUGUUAGGUAUUUCCGGACUGAAGCAUGCAAGGACAUGUUGCUGCAUCCUCACAAUGCCGCUGCAGCUUAUUGUAAGAGCCUAAAACUGAAAAUUGAUGACAUUGAUACUUCAAGUUUCUUUUGUUGCGACAAUUCCAAUUGUACUUAUUCUGGCUACAAGUUGUUGGGUCAUUACAAAAAUCUUUAUUGUGGCAUGUGGACGUCCCAUGAACCGUAUCAUGAAUCUACCAUGCCCGGCUCCAUCAAAUAGUGGAUCUGACGAAAGAAAUCAAGGAGUGUUUGUCCAAGAACUGGCCCGAUUUGUUGUAAGUGACUAUUUUCAAGUGAUGCCAGCAUCAACUUCAGCAAGCAUUUCUCUUCUUACAAAGCUUGGAGUCAUGUGUACAAGUAACAUCGAGGAGAGGAUUUUUGACAUUGGAGUAACACAGGUAUGAUCUAAUAUAUGAGCUGUUGCAGUAUUGUCUAGCCUUGUGCUACGUACAGGUACCCAUUUUAAUGUCUUUGUUUUAGGUCUUGGAGUUGCUGGAGUGCUCAUUGGUAUCAAGGACACCUCUGACCGAAGUUUUGCUUGCUCGUAAGGAAGUUCCCGAGUUAAGAAAUGAAGAUUCCCUUCAAAGAACCUCUCUUAUGCGUGAAAUACCAGAGCACCAAUCAGAAAUAAAUGGUGAGACGUCUGUUAGGCUUGUGGUUUGCAAAUCCAAGAAAGUGGUAUGUUACGCAGAAGCGUCUAAAGAUUUUGUUGAUUUACUUUUUAGUUUUCUCACCAUUCCACUUGGGUAUUUGAUGAAUGAAAUGCAUGGUGGACAAUCAAAAGGAAGCAUCCACCACCUAUAUGACAGCGUCAUUGAUCUCGAUGCUACGAAAUACCUGAAGUCGAAUGACAUUAAAGAGAUUCUUCUAAAUCCUAAGAUUGCACCUGGUUCUGGCUAUAAGAACCAGCCACUAGGUGUUAAGGAAGCUGUUGAUAACCAGCAGUACUACUAUGAUCCGUAUUCUUCCAAGCCAAUAAGAACUGAAAGCAUCUGUUCUACACUCCCACUUUUAACUAUGAUGGAUCCCAAAUCACCCUACAAAGAGGGCACAGAAGGUGAUGGAUUUUUGCUAGAUCCUGCAAUGUUCACCGUAAGUGACGAUCGAUCUUGUUGUUACACCAAUAUCGCCUGUCUCAGAACUAUAUUUACUGGAAAAAUUGAAGAUACCUUUGAAUGACAUCCAUGUCUGCGAGGUUCAAGUUGGCAGAGAAGAGGUAAGUCAAACUAACUAAUUUCUGCACUCUCUUAUUAGCCAUGAUAUUUAAUAUUUAAUUAUAAAGCUCUUAAGAAAAAUCAUGCCUGUCAACUUCAUGCUUAUGUCUUAGUUAAUUUUGUCUUGAUCAGAACUGUAAGUUUAUUUAUUUUUUAUUCUAUUUAUUCAACCAUACAGAAUUAUAGGAUAGAAGUGGCAUAAAAACUAUUUUACCUGUUCUUCUGAGAUCCUUUUUUGUUAAUGGCAUUUGUUAAAAUUCGCAUCAUAACAGACUCUUCAAACAGGAAUAUUGGUGUGAUGGGCAUUUUUUUUUCUGCUGCAGGCUUCCCGUCUCUUAGCAGCUUCUUUUGUAUCUGAAUCUGCUCUUACUGAUACCUUCCUACGUAAGAUGCCAAAAGAUGCCUUAAUUUCCGAUGUUCUGAAAGAAUAAUCUUGAGGACAUCUGUGUGCUUAAUUGAUCAAGUAUAUUUUCUGGUCAUCUUGAACCUGGUUUUUUAUUAAUGUGAUAAGUAGUCUGUCAUGUGUAGGAGUAAUAUUGAUUCUCAAGACUUUCAUGUAAGUCGAAUUAAGGUGCUGCUUUUGC